RNAcentral lists this ribosomal RNA (731 nucleotides) under Diaphorocoris indicus. RNAcentral's name for it is "SSU rRNA". It matches the Rfam family "Eukaryotic small subunit ribosomal RNA", at positions 422 to 1079 of the family's 1831-position model. Lineage: Eukaryota; Metazoa; Arthropoda; Insecta; Hemiptera; Naucoridae. The record is from RNAcentral.
AAGGCAGCAGGCACGCAAAUUACCCACUCCCGGCACGGGGAGGUAGUGACAAAAAAUAACGAUACGGGACUCAUCCGAGGCCCCGUAAUCGGAAUGCGCACACUUUAAAUCUUUUAACAAGGAUCCAAUGGAGGGCAAGUCUGGUGCCAGCAGCCGCGGUAAUUCCAGCUCCAUUAGCGUAUAUUAAAGUUGUUGCGGUUAAAAAGCUCGUAGUUGGUUCUGUGUUGCACGCUGUCGGUUCACCGCCUGCCGGUGUAACUGGCAUGUCGUGAAAUGUCCUGUCGGUGGUGGCCUCGACCCACGGCGUGUGUAGGUUCGCCGAAGCUCGCCGCUGCGUGUCAGGCUGCCGGUUCAAUCCUGCCGCGGUGCUCUUUACUGAGUGUCGAGGUAGGCCGACACGUUUACUUUGAACAAAUUAGAGUGCUCAAAGCAGGCUAACAAUGCCUUGUAUACUGUUGCAUGGAAUAAUACAAGAGGACCUUGGUUCUAUUUUGUUGGUUUUCGGAAUCCAAGGUAAUGAUCAAUAUGGACAGGCGGGGGCAUUCGUAUUGCGGCGUUAGAGGUGAAAUUCUUGGAUCGUCGCAAGACGCACUAGAGCGAAAGCAUUUGCCAAGUAUGUCUUACUUGAUCAAGAACGAAAGUUAGAGGUUCGAAGGCGAUCAGAUACCGCCCUAGUUCUAACCAUAAACGAUGCCAGCCAGCGAUCCGUCGAUGUUCCUCCGAUGACUCGG